Long non-coding RNA from Impatiens glandulifera, 1977 nucleotides. RefSeq lists it as uncharacterized. NCBI's taxonomy places the organism in Eukaryota, Viridiplantae, Streptophyta, Magnoliopsida, Ericales, Balsaminaceae. The transcript is spliced from 6 exons. The record is from RefSeq and is a predicted model, not a curated record.
UCAUGCCGUUUUCCCGAUUUGCCGAUCAAAUCACGCAGUCCACGAAUCUCCAGACUUGUGCCAUGGCUUCCGCCUUCUUACCCUAUUUCUAUUUCGUGUUUUCCCCUUUUACACCUCAUUGUUUCAUUCGACCACUCCUUCUGAUCGAUCAACACUCGACCCAUAACCAAAUAUCUCCUUCUGCCUUUACUCGGCUCACUUGAUUGAAACUUGAAAGCUUCUGCGAAGAACAAACCACCAUUCGAGUGAGAAUCUCGGGGUCAUCAAGAGGAGUCCAAUGUAGCUCCACCUAGCUGCCAGCGAAUGAUUAUGCAGAAACUGAAAUUCCAGGCUUCAGAAAUUACAUUAUCGGGUGUUGUUACGAUCUGUAGUAAUAACCUUAAGCAUUACCCAGCUUUCUGUAAGAAUGAAGCCACCAUAGCUGCUCAUUCGUUCGUUUAUAUCCAAGCGGCUGAAGAUCCCGAUUACCUUGCUUACUUGGAAGAUAUAUUCGAGAAUAAGAGGAACACCAAAUGUGUUAAAUUGAGAUGGUUUCUCUCGGUCGGGAAGUCGAGGUUAAAAAUCCUGAGUUGAAUCCACACACGAGAGAAAUUCUUCUCACAACUAGUGUUGAGGUGAUUCGUGCCGAUUGUGUUACUGGUUCAAUUACAGUUUUAACCCCUAAGCAUUACGAAAGAUCAUUAACCGUCAGUUCGGGUAUUAUGUCUCCUGGUUUAUAUGUGCUCUAGAGAUUGUUCCGUUCUCUGUUGAUAAAAUGGUGGGUUAUUCUAAACAGCAGAUCGUUUCCUCCUUAGAAAGCUGUAUUCUUUCAAUACGAAAACCGUUGCAUCAUAAAUCAAUUGAGGUAGAGAGAAAGGUUUCAUUUGAUGAAAAUGAGAGGCAGCCUACUAAUAAGAAGCUGAAGAUCAAAUUGUCUAGAAACAAAGGCACUGUAAUUUCAUCAGUUGAGACUAAUCAAAUGAUAGAGGUACUCCGUGAGGCUGUAAUUUCAUCAAUUGAGAGUAAUCAAAAGAUAGAGGUACUUUGUCAGGAUAGUGGGAUUCGAGGGUGCUGGUUUAGGUGUGAAGUUUUGCGGUAUCAUGCAUCGAAGAACCUCGUUCUAGUUGAAUAUCUCGAUUUGCGGACCGAGGGUGGAUUGAGCAAUCAAGGGUGGAUUGAGCAAUCAAAAGGAGUGGGUUCGUAAUCCUAGAGUGGCAACACUCAGUGCUUUUCAAAUGAGAUGUGAUGAUUGCCUCUCUAUUCGUCUCUUUCCUCCCGAGAGUUCCUUGGAUUGUUUGAUCGAGGCUGGGACAGCAGUUGACGUUUGGUGGUGUUAUGGUUGGUGGGAAUGUAUCGUGACUGGAGUUGACUCUUACGAUCCUGAGUCUGUUGAGGUUUAUAUCCCUGGUGAACGGGAGAUGCGACUUCUUCCUGUAAAGGAUACGAGGAUGUCAAGAGACUGGGUGGAUAACAAAUGGGUUUGCAUAAACCCUAAACCUGACAUACUUGACUGUAUCGAUUUUUCUGCUGUCAAACUUAAGCUUCCUCCAGUUGCAGUUAAGAGACCAAGGGUUGAAGAACUAAAAUGGCCUGCGAUUCCAGAAAAGGGAAACCCUAAAAGGAGGUUGCGCAGUACUGCAAAAGGUAAAUCCAUCUUAUCAAGAUCGUCUUAGAAUAGUUUAUGUUAUAAAAUCCGGUUACAUUGGUUUUAUUUAUAGCUUUUUGAAUAGACUGUGACUAUAGUUCUAAAACAUAGGUGCAAAAGUAGACAUCUCUGGAUCAUCUUUGAAACAGAUGAAGGAUAUGAGUUUUCUCUUAGUAUAAACUUUAUUUGAUUCCAUUGGAAGUAUGUACUCAGGAUUUGGUUUCUUCUGUGAAUCAAUUUUUAGACAUGAUUCUUACUAUUUAAGCUAUCUAUUGAGAUAUUUUUCAAUUUAUGACUGAUUGAAGUUGUUUUAAAUUAAAUUUUGAUUAUGAUAUAUUUGGAUUAGAAUUUCA